RNAcentral lists this ribosomal RNA (447 nucleotides) under uncultured bacterium. Its description in RNAcentral is "bacterial SSU rRNA". It matches the Rfam family "Bacterial small subunit ribosomal RNA", at positions 355 to 825 of the family's 1533-position model. The record is from RNAcentral.
UCGGGAAUUUUGGGCAAUGGGCGAAAGCCUGACCCAGCAACGCCGCGUGAAGGAUGAAGUAUUUCGGUAUGUAAACUUCGUAAGAAUAGGAAGAAUAAAUGACGGUACUAUUUGUAAGGUCCGGCUAACUACGUGCCAGCAGCCGCGGUAAUACGUAGGGACCAAGCGUUGUUCGGAUUUACUGGGCGUAAAGGGCGCGUAGGCGGUGUGUCAAGUCAGUUGUGAAAUCUCCGAGCUUAACUCGGAACGGUCAACUGAUACUGUCACACUAGAGUACAGAAGGGGCAAUCGGAAUUCUUGGUGUAGCGGUGAAAUGCGUAGAUAUCAAGAGGAACACCUGAGGCGAAGGCGGGUUGCUGGGCUGAUACUGACGCUGAAGCGCGAAAGCUGGGGUAGCAAACGGGAUUAGAUACCCACGUAGUCCCUGAGCGGGCUGGCAAGGCGCAU